GGUUUUCAGAGUACCAGUACUUGAGUGAUGUAAGAACAGAUGAGAGAUUGUUGUGUGAUGAAGUAUGAAGAAUAGAAAUGAGUUUAAGAGAAUCAAAGAGAGUAUGGGAGAGACUGAGAACGUGUAUGGGAGAUUAGAGAGAGACUUAGUAACAAGAGAAUAAGAACCAAGAACAAGUUUAUGAAGAAGAGAGACUCUCUCAGCUUAAGGGUUUACAAAGUGAUCAUAAGAGGCUUAUAUAUGCCUUUACACAACUUAUAUCACAAACCUAGAUCCUAAGGCUGUAAUUAAAAGAUAGAAUGGAUGGUAAGGAUGAGAGAAGACUGGUCUUGAUGUUUCUGGUGCUAGCUGGCGUGGCUUAUUCAAAUGGAAGGCUCAGAUUGCUUCUUUUGAAUGAAGGGAGGAGAUGGGUCUUGGCUGUAAAGGUAAAGCUUCUUUUCCCUUUCCAGCCUGUCUCUUGGACCACAAGAUGCUCAGGUAUAUUCCUUCCCUCCAUAAGCCUUCAACGGUCACUUAAGAUAGGAUUGGAUCAAAGUAAACCGCCCUCACAUUGCUCAUCUUUGAUUUAAGCUGAACCGGGUGACUUGGGCGUGUGGAGUGGCCGUACGGUUGAUGGUACGGACCUCCUGUCCGUACCACAAUCCCUAACUAUGCACAUUGCCUUAUCUCCUUCUUGACUGAUCCCAAACACCUUCAUGAUUCACCCUAGACCGUACAAGGCCGUACUGAACGCCCUAUCUUUGCACCACACUUCCAUCUUCUCUCUAACUCCUCCAAAGCCUUCACAUGAUCAGUCUAAGUCUUUCCUAGACUUAACUUCACAAGAUAACUACUUCAGAACACUUCUGAAGCUUGAUUGAACUCUUCUAGACAUCUUCUAGAGCUUGCCCUAUUGUUGUACAAGCUCUAUCUUCUCUUCUGUUCAACACUCCCCCUCAAGCUUGACUUUAGGAGAUCCUAAGCCAAGCUUGGAACUCUGAAGAGUCUCCCUCAUUAAAAACCUUACAAGGAAAACCCAUUGGGACAAAACCUUGCAAGGGAAAAAGAGUAGAGCUCUUCAAAGCCUAGGGAUUAGCCAGUGAGCUCUUGUGCCUUAGAACCAGUGUGGUUGGACACAAGAAGCUCUGGAUCACGGCCUAAUAGGUGCAGCAACUCUUCACAGCUUUGCGCACACUUCACACUUCAUACUUCAGCUUCACCUCUUCAUGGAACCGGUUUGAAGUCUCCCCCUCUCAACUGACUUCACAGCCAUCUUAGAGAAGCUAGGACACGACCAGAUCAUCUUCAAAACACUAGUGAGGCUGAUCAACACUUCACACACGGCUUGCCCUCUUCCUAGAACUGGUUUGGAUCUCCCCCUCUCAACAGACUUCUCAGCCAUCUUAGAGAAGCUCGGAACUGACCAGGAACAUCUUUAGUGAGGC
Molecule: long non-coding RNA, 1424 nt
Filed under: Brassica napus (rape)
Lineage: Eukaryota; Viridiplantae; Streptophyta; Magnoliopsida; Brassicales; Brassicaceae
Description: long non-coding RNA (BNAP_LNC025279)
Source: RNAcentral